Long non-coding RNA from Lycium barbarum (goji berry), 2623 nucleotides. RefSeq lists it as uncharacterized. The transcript is spliced from 4 exons. NCBI's taxonomy places the organism in Eukaryota, Viridiplantae, Streptophyta, Magnoliopsida, Solanales, Solanaceae. The record is from RefSeq and is a predicted model, not a curated record.
GCUUCUUUGUUCCCUCAUGUGAAGACGCGUGUACACAGAACAAUACUUUUCUUGUUCCAGCAGGUUCCAUAUUUCUUUCACUCCAUAUUUUGUGUCGUCUCUUGUAUUCGUCCUCCACUUCUAGGUGGUUUCUAAUUUUCGACUCUUCAUCUCAAUGGUUACAUCUGGCUAAUGAACCCAAGCUGUUCGGUAAUAUGCCUGAGACAGCUAAAUUAUUUGGGUGAAUUUGGUAGAGUAUAAGCAAAAUCCAAAUGUUAAUUACGAAGACGAGGAACCAAAAUACUUACGUUGGUGUUUCUUUUGCGUGGUUGCAAUACAACUUGUGAAGAAUUCUUGUGUUGUUUUGUUUUUAGUUUAUUUUCCUUGUGUCAUCUUUGAUUUAUAGCAUUACUGAGGUAACAGCAUGUUGGUUUCAAGGGUGCUAGCAAAAUUGUUGCUUGUUCUCCGUCUGCCGAAGUUGGUUAGUCCUUUUGACAAUUUUACGCUCUCUCCAUCUGUGGUUUUCUUAUUGACGAGUUUGUGUCAGUGUUUUCCAUUCUGUAAUUUCAUUAUUCUUUGUUUUUAUGUCUUUACCAUAUUAAUUCUUAACUGAUCUUGAUCAUUUUAAACUCGAUUUCUUUCAUCUGCAUUGCUUGAUUUGGGUAAGUUGUACUGGGUUUUAGUUAUUCUUGUUAGUGUGUUAGUAAUAUUUAUUUUCCCAUGUUAAUCAAUUAGCAUUACAUAUAAACAAAAUGGAAGAAAUUGUAUGGAAUCAGAGGAGAAUUUAGAGCACCAGUGCAAAUACUGGCCCUAAUUGAGAAAGAAGAAGUAAGAAAAGCAGGCAACCAAAGAACAUGAAGGGUGGCCUUCUUUCCUUACUAUCCAUAGGGGAAUCAAGACAUGCCAUCAGAUUACUACUAUUUUGCCCUUCAGGUACCAUGAAAAUAAGGUGAUAAAAAUUAUUUUUGAGCUUACUUUUGUAUCCCUUGUUUAUAUUAAACAAUUGAAUAAAUUUGAAGAAUCGUGGGAAGAAGAACUGUUGAGCAUUCAAAUUGCUCUUGAUUCACUGGUGCCUCAUCUUCUUGGAUGAUUAAAAGAUGCUACUAUAUGCAUUUAAGUUUAAACCUUAGCAUCUUUAUGCAUUUAUUACUCUUUUAUGAGGUUUGUGUUUAUUAAUCUUUUUUAAGAGAGUUAAAGGUGGACUUCUUUUCCUUAUUGAGAUGUUUCUAUAAAUGACCAUGAAGAAAGAAGGUGCUUAUGGCUAAAAUUUUUGUAAGAAGACUUGAAAAGUCGACAUUCCCUAUACAUAGAGUAAUCUAUUCUCUAUUAAGAAGGUAGUUAUACACAAACACUAAUGUCAUCAAUUUAAUUUAUAUGGCUCGUGUAUGUUUUUCGAGGAGCUAAAUUUUUUGAAAGCCUUUAAUAUUCGUAACUACUGUAACUUCUCCAGCUCUACUUUUGAGACUUCAAGUUCAAUGAAAGUGUACUGGAACUACAUUGUCUUUAAAAUUGUAGCACCACUUGAAAAGUCGACAUUCCCUAUACAUAGAGUAAUCUAUUCUCUAUUAAGGAGGUAGUUAUACACAAACACUCAUGUCAUCAAUUUAAUUUAUAUGGCUCAUGUAUGUUUUUCGAAGAGUUAAAUUUUUUGAAAGCCUUUAAUAUUCGAUAACUACUAUAACUUCUCCAGCUCUACUUUUGAGACUUCAAGUUCAAUGAAAGUGUACUGGAACUACAUUGUCUUUUAAAUUGUAGCACCAAAAUGAUAGACUUUAUAAGUGAUUCGAUGAUGGUUACUGGGCUGUUAAAGGUAAUAUAGUUUUCAUAACUGUUUGGUUGAGUUAUCAGGCUACAACAGAGACAUUUCCAAUAAAAAGAUGACCAAUAUGUUAAUGCAUAAAGAUUAAGAUGAUUCUAAUUGGAUAGGUUAGAGAUUAAAAGAAUUAAGUAAACAAAAAUGAGAAGAAAGAGAUAACUGGUUGAUACAAAAUUUGUUUCAUCAACCAAAUCCCGCUGAAGAAAAUUGAGGAUUAAUCCUUUGUGGUAAUAUUUGUAGCUUGAUGACAAUUCUAAAACUCUGGUAAUGCACAAGCAACAAUAAGCCGCCUCUUAAUGAAUAAGUACCCUAACUCAAAGCUAUUUUCAUAUGAGAAUUCCAAUUUUUUAAAGAUAUUGCAUCUUCUGUGAACAGAAGAAAUUACUACGUCGUACAAAUUCUUCUAUCAACUUGACCCUGAGAGAAUUGCGGAACUACUAAACAUUUUGUAAAGUCUCCGCCAAUAGUUGUUCACUGUCUGGCGAUACUUGAAAUGGUUUCAGUUAAUUACUUUUUUGAGCUUUUUCUUUCAGGGGAAAUGUGAUAUAGAUGCAGGUUUUCAAUAGUAAUAUGCCUUAUUUUGUCGACAUAAUGUGGGGUUUGCUGUUUCUUUGUCCUAUUCUUCGGCUUACUGACUGCUCAAUGUAUGAUGGCUAUUAUUUUAUUUUUCUUGUUUAGGGAUGGAGACCAGCCAUCACUGUGAAACAGAUACUGAUUGGUAUCCAGGACUUGUUAGAUCAGCCAAAUCCAGCUGAUCCUGCCCAAACUGAAGGGUAUCAUAUGUUUAUUCAGGCACUGUUGGCAUUUCAAGAAAAUGAGUAGUGAAGA